This 61-nucleotide transfer RNA is filed under the name Diptera sp. 53 LC-2017. RNAcentral describes it as "tRNA-Ile". The record is from RNAcentral. Lineage: Eukaryota; Metazoa; Arthropoda; Insecta; Diptera.
AAUUUUAUGACUGAUAAAAGUAAUAAAUUGAUAAUUUAUAAAUAUUUAAUAAUUUAAUUUU